Molecule: ribosomal RNA, 265 nt
Filed under: uncultured bacterium
Lineage: Bacteria
Description: partial 16S ribosomal RNA
Rfam family: Bacterial small subunit ribosomal RNA
Source: RNAcentral
CCGGCGACCGGCGCACGGUGAGUAACACGUAUGCAACCUGCCCUCUUCAGGGGGACAACCUUCCGAAAGGGAGGCUAAUCCCGCGUAUAUCGGUUUCGGGCAUCCGAGAUCGAGGAAAGAUUCAUCGGAAGAGGAUGGGCAUGCGGCGCAUUAGCUAGACGGCGGGGUAACGGCCCACCGUGGCGACGAUGCGUAGGGGUUCUGAGAGGAAGGUCCCCCCACACUGGUACUGAGACACGGACCAGACUCCUACGGAAGGCAGCAG